CACUCCUACGGGAGGCAGCAGUGGGGAAUUUUGGACAAUGGGCGAAAGCCUGAUCCAGCCAUGCCGCGUGCAGGAUGAAGGCCUUCGGGUUGUAAACUGCUUUUGUACGGAACGAAACGGCCUUUUCUAAUAAAGAGGGCUAAUGACGGUACCGUAAGAAUAAGCACCGGCUAACUACGUGCCAGCAGCCGCGGUAAUACGUAGGGUGCAAGCGUUAAUCGGAAUUACUGGGCGUAAGGCGUGCGCAGGCGGUUAUGUAAGACAGUUGUGAAAUCCCCGGGCUCAACCUGGGAACUGCAUCUGUGACUGCAUAGCUAGAGUACGGCAGAGGGGGAUGGAAUUCCGCGUGUAGCAGUGAAAUGCGUAGAUAUGCGGAGGAACACCGAUGGCGAAGGCAAUCCCCUGGACCUGUACUGACGCUCAUGCACGAAAGCGUGGGGAGCAAACAGGAUUAGAAACCCCAGUAGUCCCAUGAU
RNAcentral lists this ribosomal RNA (476 nucleotides) under uncultured organism. RNAcentral's name for it is "partial 16S ribosomal RNA". It matches the Rfam family "Bacterial small subunit ribosomal RNA", at positions 334 to 801 of the family's 1533-position model. The record is from RNAcentral.